Molecule: ribosomal RNA, 253 nt
Filed under: uncultured bacterium
Lineage: Bacteria
Description: partial 16S ribosomal RNA
Rfam family: Bacterial small subunit ribosomal RNA
Source: RNAcentral
UACGUAGGGGGCAAGCGUUGUCCGGAAUCAUUGGGCGUAAAGAGCGUGUAGGCGGCCAGAAAAGUCCGCUGUGAAAACUCGAGGCUCAACUUCGAGCUGUCGGUGGAAACUUUCUGGCUAGAGUCCGGAAGAGGAGAAUGGAAUUCCUGGUGUAGCGGUGAAAUGCGCAGAUAUCAGGAAGAACACCCGUGGCGAAGGCGGUUCUCUGGGACGGUACUGACGCUGAGAUGCGAAAGCGUGGGGAGCAAACAGG